This 769-nucleotide ribosomal RNA is filed under the name uncultured Pseudoalteromonadaceae bacterium. Its description in RNAcentral is "bacterial SSU rRNA". It matches the Rfam family "Bacterial small subunit ribosomal RNA", at positions 28 to 776 of the family's 1533-position model. Lineage: Bacteria; Pseudomonadati; Pseudomonadota; Gammaproteobacteria; Alteromonadales; Pseudoalteromonadaceae. The record is from RNAcentral.
AUUGAACGCUGGCGGCAGGCCUAACACAUGCAAGUCGAGCGGAAACGAGUUAUCUAAACCUUCGGGGAACGAUAACGGCGUCGAGCGGCGGACGGGUGAGUAAUGCCUAGGAAAUUGCCCUGAUGUGGGGGAUAACCAUUGGAAACGAUGGCUAAUACCGCAUGAUGCCUACGGGCCAAAGAGGGGGACCUUCGGGCCUCUCGCGUCAGGAUAUGCCUAGGUGGGAUUAGCUAGUUGGUGAGGUAAGGGCUCACCAAGGCAACGAUCCCUAGCUGGUCUGAGAGGAUGAUCAGCCACACUAGAACUGAGACACGGUCCAGACUCCUACGGGAGGCAGCAGUGGGGAAUAUUGCACAAUGGGCGCAAGCCUGAUGCAGCCAUGCCGCGUGUGUGAAGAAGGCCUUCGGGUUGUAAAGCACUUUCAGUCGUGAGGAAGGUAGUGUGUUUAAUAGAUGCAUUAUUUGACGUUAGCGACAGAAGAAGCACCGGCUAACUCCGUGCCAGCAGCCGCGGUAAUACGGAGGGUGCGAGCGUUAAUCGGAAUUACUGGGCGUAAAGCGCAUGCAGGUGGUUUGUUAAGUCAGAUGUGAAAGCCCGGGGCUCAACCUCGGAAUAGCAUUUGAAACUGGCAGACUAGAGUACUGUAGAGGGGGGUAGAAUUUCAGGUGUAGCGGUGAAAUGCGUAGAGAUCUGAAGGAAUACCGGUGGCGAAGGCGGCCCCCUGGACAGAUACUGACACUCAGAUGCGAAAGCGUGGGGAGCAAACAGG